AUGGGCUCUACAGGAUCCAGGUCCAGGCUGAGUCAGGUGGCCCCAUGUCACAGUCAGCCAGAGGGAGACCUGGACCAGCAGGCCAGUCAUCCCACCUCACAAUGGACCAUCUCUGCUGUGCCAACCCCACUGGGGCCACAACAUGGGCCCCUAGGACAUAGUAGGACUAUCCAGCUGCCCCCACUGAAGCUGGAAAACUCUGCAAGCUUCCCCCCACUAUCUACAGAAUCAUCAUAUGUAGCAAGCAGCCUCCCACAGAGUCAAAGCAACAUUUGGGGACCAAGCAUCAUUCAUUCUCAUCCACCACGAAGACUACAGGCAUUGCAACCGCUGGCCCCUCUUAGUGCAGGUCUCAAGGUUACUGCCAAUCACAUGGCCAUGGGCAUAGACUGGAGAGAUGGGGGUGUCCUCCACUUUUCUACCCCCAGCCAGGGUGCACACGAUGGCACCGGCCGCCAUCCGCAGGGAGGACUCCUGGAGGCACAGAUGGUCCUCAGUCAACAGGCCCAGCGAAGAAGGAGAGCCCACCAGAGACGAGUCCGAGAGCAGCGGGUCCACGAGAGGACAAUCUACAUAGAUAAUGUUGAAGCACCAAGCAGCAAAGGGAUACAGAGACUGCAUCUGCUAAACAGGCCAACCCAAAGGGACAUAUUUUGGGAUGAGAUGACAGGAGAGAGUCUCGACCUCAAGGAGAUCCUCCAACCAAGCCCCCUUCCCCUGGAGCAGGGAGAGAGACAGCAGUCCCAGCCUGGACCACCACAGUGCCUGUGUAGGGAUGAAGAGCUGAUCAACAGAGACUUGGCAUGGGGAGGCCUCAGGAGUCCUCACCGGAAAACCAAUUCUCUCACAGACAGAGUGGAAGGGGAGACAGAUGGUGGACUGACCAUGAGGAAAACCUUACCUUCGAUGCUGGACUGGAAGACAGAGAAACAAAGAGAUACAAUUCCCAAACACUUGAGCUCUUUCAGGGAUAGUGAGAGGGCUAGUAGGAGGCCUCUGAGAGGCUGGCAGAGAGAGGGCAUUAGAGGUCUAUGUCAUGGGGAGAGAGGGAUUUGGGAACCUGACCUGGAGUAG
This 1074-nucleotide long non-coding RNA is filed under the name Oncorhynchus mykiss (rainbow trout). RNAcentral describes it as "lncRNA (ENSOMYG00000069017.1)". The record is from RNAcentral. Lineage: Eukaryota; Metazoa; Chordata; Actinopteri; Salmoniformes; Salmonidae.